RNAcentral lists this ribosomal RNA (399 nucleotides) under uncultured bacterium. RNAcentral describes it as "bacterial SSU rRNA". It matches the Rfam family "Bacterial small subunit ribosomal RNA", at positions 521 to 916 of the family's 1533-position model. The record is from RNAcentral.
UAAUACGUAGGGGACGAGCGUUGUCCGGAUUCAUUGGGCGUAAAGAGCUCGUAGGCGGUCCAGUAAGUUGGGUGUGAAAGCUCCGGGCUCAACCCGGAGAGGUCACCCAAAACUGCUGUGACUAGAGUCCAGUAGAGGAGCGUGGAAUUCCUGGUGUAGCGGUGAAAUGCGCAGAUAUCAGGAGGAACACCAGCAGCGAAGGCGGCGCUCUGGGCUGGAACUGACGCUGAGGAGCGAAAGCGUGGGUAGCAAACAGGAUUAGAUACCCUGGUAGUCCACGCCGUAAACGUUGGGCACUAGGUGUGGGGAGGAAUCAACCCUUUCUGUGCCGUAGCUAACGCAUUAAGUGCCCCGCCUGGGGAGUACGGCCGCAAGGCUAAAACUCAAAUGAAUUGACGG